CGAGCCCGGGAGAAGGACGGGAGGAAGGGGAAAGGGGAAGGGGAAGGAAAGAGAGAGAAAGAAAGAAGGUAGCGGCAGCGCGCACACUCUCACACCCCCGCUGGAAAAGAUUGUCUCCUCUUUAGAUGUGAGCUUUCGGUGAAUACGACGAGACUGCUUGUUUUCCCCCGCAAUGAUCACUGCGUUUCUCAAGCAGUUUGCACCUACUUACGGACCUCGCAUCUUCAGCCUUGGAUCUUAAAGGAACUGAUAACUCCUCUUCCAGAAAACUGUUCGGUAACAGGUUUCCUGCCCCGGGCUUUACAAGGAUCGCUCUUGUCUCAGAGCCACCGUGUACGUACGAUUCUUUUUUUUCACGGAUUUUGGUGGGGGUUUUUUUUGUUUUUUUUUUUUGUUUUUUUUUUUGUUUUUUGUUUUUUGUUUUUUGUUUUUUUUUUUUGCGGGGGGUGGGGGAGGGCGUUAUAUAUUUUUCUGUUACCUUUUCUGCCUGUGAAGUAAUCAGGGAGAACGGCGGGAGGCUCCAUAAAUAUGCAAAUUGGCGCCAGAUAACUGGUUUCGCUGGUUCCGCCUUGGGACUCCCGCCGGGCGGCUCCGCGGGGGAGAUUGUCGCCCCCGGCCCCACGACCCGCCCCCUCUCCCCCCUCCCCGCGCCGGGCACCGCUCUCCGAGCGCGGUCCUUCCCCUCUCCCCGCCGCUGCCGCAGCUCUUCGACGCGUGCCCGCGCCUUCCAGCUCCCUGGCAGCGUCCCGAAGGAGCACCGCGUCUCGUGGCUGCUGGGUGUCACGGGGCAAAAAGUGCGGUAGGCUGAACCGUGCUCGGGCCCUUAUCCUUUCUAACUCGGCAUCCGAAGGAUUAAAAGCAGUAACUGGCUUCCGAAUUGUAAAAUGUUAAAAUGAAAGUUUGAUUCGUGGUUAAACACUCGCGGGAGCGCAUCCUUUGUGGAUUCUGAUUUGACUCUGCUGUUAAACCGACAUCGGUACUGCGCUGACGCUUUAAUUAAUAAAAGUGGUUAGAGUCCUCUCUGUCAUCUCGUUGCUUACCAGCCUCCACACAAACCGUUUCAAGAUUCUGUCUAAAUAGGAGAAUGAGAAGGGAAACAUAAGCCGCCAAAGUUACUUUGAAGGCAGAGAAGCCAGGCGGCUGACACUGAGAGGCAGGGUUUGGUCUGCAGCUCUCCGCAAUCGUCGCAGCUCCCCGCCGCGGAAGCCCGCCCGGCAGCCCGUGCUGCGACGGCACUGCGCUCGCGGAGCGCAGAGGGUGGGAGGGGAGAGGCGCUGCCACUGCCCCCGAGAUUCCCUGUGCCUGUGGAGCCGGGCCUCGCUGGGAAGGAGACGGGGGCGGC
RNAcentral lists this long non-coding RNA (1342 nucleotides) under Gallus gallus (chicken). The record is from RNAcentral. Lineage: Eukaryota; Metazoa; Chordata; Aves; Galliformes; Phasianidae.